CAACAAAAAACCACUGGUCGUGACGCUCAGAGAUCACUCGCAAUAGUCAGGAGUUAACAGAAAGUGUGUGCACCCAAAUUGUCUACCAUCCUUCUAUAAAAACUGGCUGCUUUUAAAGGUUUGUCUAUUAAAAUGCUAUCAUGUUUUGCUUUGUUUGGUUUCCUUUUAAAGACAGUUGUUUAGGUGAUGUGUGAGGGAUUAAAAAGCCACCCCUGAGAUAAAGCUGACCUGCUUGCAGGAAAGCCACGAUGGAAGGCGGAAGUAUAGAUGAUGGAGGAUUUACGGAGAAUGCGCAGACACAGAUGUGACGUGGAGGGGAGGGCGACUCAGGCCCUUCCUCGCAAAGACUCAUCUAACUGUCGGGGCAACUGUGGGUGCUGCCAUGUCGGAUGAGACGACUGGGGAGUGAGAGGCAGGAAAGCAGCCGAAAGGCCGGGGGGCAGUGUUCUCCAAGGCCUCUCAGAAAAGACAGGAGAGCUUCUCUACACCCCGCUCUCCAGUGGGGAAGCCUGCUUACUUAUAACGGACCCAACAGUAAAUGCAGUCCCCACCACUCUUGGCCAUUGUCAGAAGGGAUAGGUCUGAGGGUCCGGGCAAGAGCAGACCGACGGCCUGGAGAGAGCUUUUGGGCUUGAACUGGAACAUUGGCUCUCCUUGGGUCUGGAGCCUGACAGUUUUCAGAGUGGGACUUACACCGUUGGAUGUCCUGGUCCUCAGCCUUCACACUUCAGCUGGAACUUCACCACUGGCUCUCCUGGGUCUCCAACUCGCUGACUCUAAAUCUUGGGAGUUCUCAGCCUCCAUAAUCAUAAGAUCCAGUUCCUUUUUCAAAUACUUUAUAAAUGUGUCGCACAUUGCAAAGAUGGUGGGAAGCUUCCAGAGGUGCCGAGUCUUGGGGUUAAUGUGAUGAAAACAACAUAAAACAUGGAUUCCCUCUCCUUCAACUAUGGACCAGUAAGGCAAUUCCUCGGUAAUAACUCAACACACACUUUACCAAAAGUGAUUUUCCAUCUGAGACCUUGCAGAAAGGUGCUCAUUUAUGUUCUUGGCUACCCUUUACCUCAAUGAGAAUGAAAAAAUAUGAACUGUGACCAUAUAUGUAAGCUCCUGGCAAAUCCUGGUGGUAACAUGCCUUCUGACUGUCAAGCUGGGGAUUUCCUUUCUGAUCGUUCCAUGUGGAGGAACAUUUUAUACACUUACAAAGUUCUUCCUGCGCACAUGGUUGGACUCUGCAGCUGAGCCACCACAUCAUCUGGUCCAUAGGGCUCCAUCUGCAGAGAAUGUCAUCCAAUUGGGCAAGAAGUCUUCUGUCCUAGGACUUCUCUGAUUGGAGCUUGAGGUCACCUGGCUGAAGCUGGUACCAUGAUGGACCUGCCUGGUGGCAGCUGGAGCCAGGAAGGGGAUGUAACUGCUAUGGGACAUGCCACUCGAGACAGAGAGGUGAAGGAGAAAUUUCCUGGACUUUCCUUUCAUCUGGGGAGCUCCAGGCUCCUUUUAAUAUCUUUAAUAUGCUCACGCCAGCCAGAAACGCAGUCUGUAGGAAUCCCUCCCAGCCGUACGGGGCAGACCAAGGUAACUGCAAGCAAUGGAUCUGAGGACAAAUUGGCCCAGGACUGGCACACCUUCCCUUUGGAUAAAAUGAUAAAUCUGAUGGUUUUCUUUGUCUCCUUUCUCAUCAUCUCCAAGAGUUUUUUUUGGAUGAUCUCCAGAAUUAGAUUUGUUAUUUUGUAAGUCUUUUUUCUUUAUAGAAUUUUUUUGGAAACUUUUGUUUUAUAACUCUUCUAAGAGGAAUUUUAAACCCAACGUAAAGUUUCAUUAAUUGUAUUACUCACCACCAAUGUUCAUACCACUUCCUUGCUAUUCUCAAGCACUUUUAUUACAGUUCUGAUCUUUUUCUUUUCUCUCUUACAAAUGAUCCCUUAAGUAGGUGUCACAUUCUUAAGACAGUGCUUUAUUCUUUCCUAGCAUUUUGUUUUUUUUGUAAGGAAGAGAAAUCCAAUGACAAACAGAUUCUUUUCUUUUAAGGGCCACUUUUUCCGCUUGGAAGUGUGUAGAUUUUUAUCUUUAUAUUUGGUAUUGAAAUUCAAAACAAGCAAAAGGAAAACUUUAACCCGUCACUUGAAGAACUUUUUUGAUAUGAGGCUUCAAUUCUGUCUUCAGUUUAGGGAUUUUUUUUCUGUUUUGAUUACUGCUUCUCCUUGAUCUGCACUCCUUUUGUACCUAUAUUAGAUAUCCUGUUCAUUCGCAUAUUCCCAAUCACAGAGGAAUUAACAAUUACCUUCAUCUGGACUUGCAUGAAACAUUUUUAACAGAAAGUUCCCAAAAUUUCUGGUGUGUAUAUGGCUUCAUUUGCUUGUUUCCAGGAUUUAUACAGACUUUUUCUAAAUAUUUCUGUGUUUGUCAUUUCCGUGGGAACCUGGAAGAGGAGAGAAUUAACCAUUAGCACUCAAAUCACCGUU
This 2459-nucleotide long non-coding RNA is filed under the name Equus caballus (horse). RNAcentral's name for it is "lncRNA (ENSECAG00000029622.3)". Lineage: Eukaryota; Metazoa; Chordata; Mammalia; Perissodactyla; Equidae. The record is from RNAcentral.